UGCAGCUUAGCUCAGUUGGUUAGAGCAUGGUGUUGACGACCCCAAGGUCACAGGUUCAAUCCCCAUACGGGACAGCUGCAC
Non-coding RNA from Podarcis lilfordi (Lilford's wall lizard), 81 nucleotides. The record is from the annotation of a GenBank genome assembly. Lineage: Eukaryota; Metazoa; Chordata; Lepidosauria; Squamata; Lacertidae.